Molecule: non-coding RNA, 24 nt
Filed under: Mus musculus (house mouse)
Lineage: Eukaryota; Metazoa; Chordata; Mammalia; Rodentia; Muridae
Also listed under: 1 other name
Source: RNAcentral
UAGGUUGCUAAGCUAUUCCUGUGC